RNAcentral lists this long non-coding RNA (1158 nucleotides) under Macaca fascicularis (crab-eating macaque). RNAcentral's name for it is "lncRNA (ENSMFAG00000057668.1)". Lineage: Eukaryota; Metazoa; Chordata; Mammalia; Primates; Cercopithecidae. The record is from RNAcentral.
AUGUCCUGCCCGCCGCGAGAGGUGGGCGCUGGCCCCGCCCCGCAGGGCACGGUGGCGGCAGCAGCGGCGGGCGGCCCUGGGCUGCAAGAUCUGCUUGGGGGCGGACACGCUGGCAGGGCUCAUGGGCAUGUAGUCGUCGCUCCUGCAGCUGCCGCUCCCACUGCCCGCGAGGGCCGCGCCAGGCGUCAUGGGCAUGUAGCCGUCGUCUGCACCCAGGUUGCUGCUGGAGCUCCUGUGGGAGCCGAUCUCGAUAUCUCCGUAGUCCUCUGGGUAGGGGUGGUAGGCCACCUUGGGAGAGGACGCGGGGCAGGACGGGCAGAGGCGGCCUGCGCUGCCGGAGAAGGUGGCCCGCAUCAGGGUGUACUCAUCCAGCGAGGCGGAGGAGGGCUGGGGCACCGGCCGCUGCCGGGCCGGCGUGGUCAGGGAGUAGGUCCUCUUGCGCAGCCCUCGGUCCAGGUCCUGGGCCACGUCUCCCGAGACCCUGCGGUAGGGGCGGCCACAGUGGCUCAGGGGCCUGUCCAUGGUCAUGUACCCGUAGAACUCACCGCCGCCGCUGCCGUCUCGCGCAGGGGGCGUUUCCGCGAUGGACUCGGGCGUGUUGCUCCGGUGGCUGCAGAAGGCGCGCAGGUCGCCGGGGCUGGAGCCGUACUCGUCCAGGGACAUGAAGCCGGGGUCGCUGGGGGAACCCGAGGCGGAGGCGCUGCCGCUGGAGGGCCGCUGGCCGGGGCCGUGGUGCAGUGGGUGCGGCAGGGGCGGGUGCGGGCCCGGCGGCGGCGGGUAGGAGCCCGAGCCGUGGCCGCUGCUGGACGACAGGGAGCCGGGGCUGGUGGCGGCGGGCGGCGAGUGCGCCACAGGCAUGGACAUGGAGCGGCUGUGCUGCAGCGCGCCCCCUGCCGGCAGCAGCGCCACCUUGCUCCCGCGGCCGCCGCAGCCGCCGCUCAGGGUGUGCGAGCGGCUCAGGGGCGCGCACCGGCCCGGGGCUCAGGGGCUCCCAGCCACCGACACUGGCCUGGCGCCCGCGGCCGCUGCCCCCGCCGCCGCGCCGCCGUCGCCCUCGCUGGCGGUGCGCACCCGGCACGAGCUGCACUUGGCCGCCGGCGGUGGCGGCCAGGCUGUCGGUGCGCGAACGGCGCACCAAGCCCGUCUGGCUGGGGGUAG